Molecule: ribosomal RNA, 440 nt
Filed under: uncultured bacterium
Lineage: Bacteria
Description: partial 16S ribosomal RNA
Rfam family: Bacterial small subunit ribosomal RNA
Source: RNAcentral
CCUACGGGAGACAGCAGUGGGGAAUCUUGCACAAUGGGGGGAACCCUGAUGCAGCAACGCCGCGUGGGUGAAGAAGUACUUCGUUAUGUAAAGCCCUGUCAGCAGGGAAGAAAAUGACGGUACCUGACCAAGAAGCCCCGGCUAACUACGUGCCAGCAGCCGCGGUAAUACGUAGGGGGCAAGCGUUAUCCGGAUGUACUGGGUGUAACGGGAGCGUAGACGGCAAGGCAUGUCUGGAUUGAAAGCCCGUGGCUCAACCACGGGACUGCUUUGGAAACUGUGUUGCUAGAGUGCAGGAGGGGUAAGCGGAAUUGCUAGUGUAGCGGUGAAAUGCGUAGAUAGUAGGAGGAACACCGGUGGCGAAGGCGGCUUACUGGACUGUAACUGACGUUGAGGCUCGAAGGCGUGGGGAGCAAACAGGAUUAGAUACCCCUGUAGUC